AGAGUUUGAUCCUGGCUCAGAGCGAACGCUGGCGGCAUGCCUAACACAUGCAAGUCGCGCGGGGGGCAACCUCAGCGGCGGACGGGUGAGUAACGCGUGGGAAUCUGUCUCCGGGUGGGGGAUAACUGUGGGAAACUACAGCUAAUACCGCAUGAAGCCUGAGGGCCAAAGCAGUGAUGCGCCUGGAGAGGAGCCCGCGU
RNAcentral lists this ribosomal RNA (200 nucleotides) under uncultured bacterium. Its description in RNAcentral is "partial 16S ribosomal RNA". It matches the Rfam family "Bacterial small subunit ribosomal RNA", at positions 8 to 236 of the family's 1533-position model. The record is from RNAcentral.